Molecule: long non-coding RNA, 215 nt
Filed under: Lathyrus oleraceus (garden pea)
Lineage: Eukaryota; Viridiplantae; Streptophyta; Magnoliopsida; Fabales; Fabaceae
Description: Pisum sativum (pea) long non-coding RNA (PSAT_LNC027682)
Source: RNAcentral
UCUCAUGUCUACGUACCAACAAAGUGCAUGGAGGAUCAAAACCUUGUAGUUCAUGGUAAAAAUAACAAAGAUGUUUGUCUUGAUUAAUUUUUAAUAAAAAUACAUUUUGUCAUUUUAAGGAGAACAUUCAACUAUCCAUCCACAAGUAUGAGAACAUUGCAUCACCAUGGAGAAGGGCUCCAACUUGGAUAAAGAUCAACAAGUAUGCCACAAAC